GAUGAACGCUGGCGGCGUGCCUAAUACAUGCAAGUCGAGCGAAUGGAUUAAGAGCUUGCUCUUAUGAAGUUAGCGGCGGACGGGUGAGUAACACGUGGGUAACCUGCCCAUAAGACUGGGAUAACUCCGGGAAACCGGGGCUAAUACCGGAUAACAUUUUGAACCGCAUGGUUCGAAAUUGAAAGGCGGCUUCGGCUGUCACUUAUGGAUGGAACUGCGUAGCAUUAGCUAGUUGGUGAGGUAACGGCUCACCAAGGCAACGAUGCGGAGCCGACCUGAGAGGGUGAUCGGCCACACUGGGACUGAGACACGGCCCAGACUCCUACGGGAGGCAGCAGUAGGGAAUCUUCCGCAAUGGACGAAAGUCUGACGGAGCAACGCCGCGUGAGUGAUGAAGGCUUUCGGGUCGUAAAACUCUGUUGUUAGGGAAGAACAAGUGCUAGUUGAAUAAGCUGGCACCUUGACGGUACCUAACCAGAAAGCCACGGCUAACUACGUGCCAGCCGCCGCCGUAA
RNAcentral lists this ribosomal RNA (515 nucleotides) under uncultured bacterium. Its description in RNAcentral is "partial 16S ribosomal RNA". It matches the Rfam family "Bacterial small subunit ribosomal RNA", at positions 28 to 523 of the family's 1533-position model. The record is from RNAcentral.